RNAcentral lists this ribosomal RNA (440 nucleotides) under uncultured bacterium. RNAcentral's name for it is "partial 16S ribosomal RNA". It matches the Rfam family "Bacterial small subunit ribosomal RNA", at positions 338 to 795 of the family's 1533-position model. The record is from RNAcentral.
CCUACGGGAGGCUGCAGUAGGGAAUCUUCCACAAUGGGGGAAACCCUGAAGCAGCAACGCCGCGUGGAGGAUGAAGGUUUUCGGCUUGUAAACUCCUGUUGUUAGAGAAGAUAAUGACGGUAUCUAACGAAUAAGCACCUGCUAACUACGUGCCAGCAGCCGCGGUAAUACGAAGGGUGCAAGCGUUACUCGGAAUCACUGGGCGUAAAGAGCGCGUAGGCGGGAUAGCAAGUCAGAUGUGAAAUCCUAUGGCUUAACCAUAGAACUGCAUUUGAAACUGUUAUUCUAGAGUAUGGGAGAGGUAGGUGGAAUUCUUGGUGUAGGGGUAAAAUGCGUAGAGAUCAAGAGGAACACUCAUGGCGAAGGCGACCUGCUAGAACAUAACUGACGCUGAUGCGCGAAAGCGUGGGGAGCAAACAGGAUUAGAUACCCGAGUAGUC